GCCAGCAGCCAUAUCACCCUGCAGCCCAAGACUGGUUGCCCACUGAAGCUAAGCAGGGUUGAGCCUGGUCAGUACCUGGAUGGGAGACCUCCUGAGAAAACUAGGUUGCUGCUGGAA
Molecule: ribosomal RNA, 117 nt
Filed under: Sinocyclocheilus anshuiensis
Lineage: Eukaryota; Metazoa; Chordata; Actinopteri; Cypriniformes; Cyprinidae
Source: RNAcentral